Scophthalmus maximus (turbot) is the source of this 82-nucleotide non-coding RNA. NCBI's taxonomy places the organism in Eukaryota, Metazoa, Chordata, Actinopteri, Pleuronectiformes, Scophthalmidae. The record is from the annotation of a RefSeq genome assembly.
GUUGUUGUGGCCGAGUGGUUAAGGCGAUGGACUAGAUAUCCAUUGGGGUCCCCCCGCUCAGGUUCAAAUCCUGCCGAUAACG